GUAAAAAUGUUGCAGCCAUGAAGCUAUGAUUGGGGAGGCAAAGUCACUGAUUUAUUCCAUUGUUUGUUCUCGAUCACUUCUUGUCACAGAGGUUUAAUAUCAUGGCAAGGAGGUUCAACACUGUUAGUGUAAGAUGUUAGAUCUGCCAUCAUUCAAGCAUUGUCUGGAAUAAGGAAAGGUUGAGAAGGAUUGGGGUAAGCAGAUUGACAGCAAGAUUUUUUGACUCUGGUGACAGUAAAGGUUUAAGCAGAAACAGUACAGGUUAUUUAUUUAUUUAAAU
Ipomoea nil (Japanese morning glory) is the source of this 280-nucleotide long non-coding RNA. RefSeq lists it as uncharacterized. The record is from RefSeq and is a predicted model, not a curated record. The transcript has 3 exons. NCBI's taxonomy places the organism in Eukaryota, Viridiplantae, Streptophyta, Magnoliopsida, Solanales, Convolvulaceae.